This 253-nucleotide ribosomal RNA is filed under the name uncultured bacterium. Its description in RNAcentral is "partial 16S ribosomal RNA". It matches the Rfam family "Bacterial small subunit ribosomal RNA", at positions 524 to 776 of the family's 1533-position model. The record is from RNAcentral.
UACGGGGGGAGCAAGCGUUGUUCGGAUUUACUGGGCGUAAAGCGCACGUAGGCGGCUUUGUAAGUUAGAGGUGAAAGCCCGGGGCUCAACUCCGGAACUGCCUUUAAGACUGCAUCGCUUGAAUCCAGGAGAGGUGAGUGGAAUUCCGAGUGUAGAGGUGAAAUUCGUAGAUAUUCGGAAGAACACCAGUGGCGAAGGCGGCUCACUGGACUGGUAUUGACGCUGAGGUGCGAAAGCGUGGGGAGCAAACAGG